RNAcentral lists this ribosomal RNA (913 nucleotides) under uncultured bacterium. RNAcentral describes it as "bacterial SSU rRNA". It matches the Rfam family "Bacterial small subunit ribosomal RNA", at positions 8 to 916 of the family's 1533-position model. The record is from RNAcentral.
AGAGUUUGAUCCUGGCUCAGGACGAACGCUGGCGGCGUGCCUAAUACAUGCAAGUCGAGCGGGGAUUAUGCUUGAUCGCUUCGGUGAGACGGCAUAUAUCCUAGCGGCGGACGGGUGAGUAACGCGUGGGUAACCUACCCCAAAGUCCGGGAUAACAGCGGGAAACCGCUGCUAAUACCGGAUGCCUUUACCUUGGGGCAUCUUGAGGUAAAGAAAGGUAACGCUUUGGGAUGGGCCCGCGUCCCAUUAGCUAGUUGGUGAGGUAACGGCUCACCAAGGCGACGAUGGGUAGCCGGCCUGAGAGGGUGGACGGCCACACUGGGACUGAGACACGGCCCAGACUCCUACGGGAGGCAGCAGUAGGGAAUAUUGCGCAAUGGACGGAAGUCUGACGCAGCGACGCCGCGUGAGCGAUGAAGGUCUUCGGAUCGUAAAGCUCUGUCCUUGGGGAAGAAGGCGAAAGCUUGACGGUACCCAAGAAGAAAGCCCCGGCUAACUACGUGCCAGCAGCCGCGGUAAUACGUAGGGGGCGAGCGUUGUCCGGAAUUACUGGGCGUAAAGGGUGCGUAGGCGGCCCUUUAAGUCGGAUGUGAAAGCCCGCGGCUUAACCGCGGAAUGGCAUUCGAAACUGGAGGGCUUGAGUGUCGGAGAGGGUAGUGGAAUUCCCAGUGUAGCGGUGAAAUGCGUAGAUAUUGGGAGGAACACCAGUGGCGAAGGCGACUACCUGGACGAUAACUGACGCUGAGGCACGAAAGCUAGGGGAGCAAACAGGAUUAGAUACCCUGGUAGUCCUAGCCGUAAACGAUGGGUACUAGGUGUGGGUGGUUUCGAUACCAUCCGUGCCGUAGUUAACGCAUUAAGUACCCCGCCUGGGGAGUACGUGCGCAAGCAUGAAACUCAAAGGAAUUGACGG